CAACUACUCCCUCCGUCCCAAAAUUCUUGUCUUAAAUUUGUUUAGAUACGGAUGUAUCUAACACUAAAACGUAACUCGAUACAUUCAUAUUUAGACAAAUCUAAGAAAAGAAAUUUGGGACGGAGGGAGUACAAU
This is a non-coding RNA of Triticum urartu, 135 nucleotides long. NCBI's taxonomy places the organism in Eukaryota, Viridiplantae, Streptophyta, Magnoliopsida, Poales, Poaceae. The record is from Rfam.